Molecule: ribosomal RNA, 253 nt
Filed under: uncultured bacterium
Lineage: Bacteria
Description: partial 16S ribosomal RNA
Rfam family: Bacterial small subunit ribosomal RNA
Source: RNAcentral
UACGUAGGGUGCAAGCGUUAAUCGGAAUUACUGGGCGUAAAGCGUGCGCAGGCGGUUAUGUAAGACAGAUGUGAAAUGCCCGGGCUUAACCUGGGAACUGCAUUUGUGACUGCAUGGCUAGAGUUUGGCAGAGGGGGGUAGAGUUCCACGUGUAGCAGUGAAAUGCGUAGAUAUGUGGAGGAAUACCGAUGGCGAAGGCAGCCCCCUGGGUCAAGACUGACGCUCAUGCACGAAAGCGUGGGGAGCAAACAGG